Molecule: unclassified non-coding RNA, 354 nt
Filed under: soil metagenome
Description: partial contains 5.8S ribosomal RNA, internal transcribed spacer 2, and large subunit ribosomal RNA
Rfam family: 5.8S ribosomal RNA (bases 1-120)
Source: RNAcentral
GAUGAAGAACGCAGCGAAAUGCGAUAAGUAAUGUGAAUUGCAGAAUUCCGUGAAUCAUCGAAUCUUUGAACGCACAUUGCGCCCCCUGGCAUUCCGGGGGGCAUGCCUGUCCGAGCGUCAUUUCUGCCCUCCAGCCCGGCUGGGUGUUGGGCGCUGUCCCCCCGGGGACACGCCCCAAAGGCAGUGGCGGCGCCGCGUCGGGUCCUCGAGCGUAUGGGGCUUUGUCACCCGCUCGGGGCGGACUCGUCGGCGCUGGUCUUCCUCCAGGCGACCCUUCGGGGCUCGUCUUCCUUCGGUUGACCUCGGAUCAGGUAGGGUUACCCGCUGAACUUAAGCAUAUCAAUAAGCGGAGGA